RNAcentral lists this ribosomal RNA (497 nucleotides) under uncultured bacterium. Its description in RNAcentral is "partial 16S ribosomal RNA". It matches the Rfam family "Bacterial small subunit ribosomal RNA", at positions 28 to 507 of the family's 1533-position model. The record is from RNAcentral.
GAUGAACGCUGGCGGCGUGCCUAAUACAUGCAAGUCGAGCGAACGGACGAGAAGCUUGCUUUUCUGAUGUUAGCGGCGGACGGGUGAGUAACACGUGGAUAACCUACCUAUAAGACUGGGAUAACUUCGGGAAACCGGAGCUAAUACCGGAUAAUAUUUUGAACCGCAUGGUUCAAAAGUGAAAGACGGUCUUGCUGUCACUUAUAGAUGGAUCCGCGCUGCAUUAGCUAGUUGGUAAGGUAACGGCUUACCAAGGCAACGAGGCAUAGCCGACCUGAGAGGGUGGUCGGCCACACUGGAACUUAGACACGGUCCAGACUCCUACGGGACGCAGCAGUAGGGUAUCUUCCGCAAUGGGCGAAAGCCUGACGGAGCGACGCCGCGUGAGUGAUGGAGGUCUUCGGAUCGUAAAACUCUGUUAUGAGGGGAGAACAUAUGUGUAAGUAACUGUGCACAUCUUGACGGUACCUAAUCAGAAAGCCACGGCUAACUACGUG